This is a long non-coding RNA of Asparagus officinalis (garden asparagus), 1621 nucleotides long. RefSeq lists it as uncharacterized. The record is from RefSeq and is a predicted model, not a curated record. NCBI's taxonomy places the organism in Eukaryota, Viridiplantae, Streptophyta, Magnoliopsida, Asparagales, Asparagaceae. The transcript is spliced from 4 exons.
UAAUUGCAAGAGAUCAAAACCCUUGAAUUUUUAGGGUUUUUUUUAGUGGGAGGAGAACUAGAAAGAUGGAGAUAAUUAGAAAGAGAGUUGAGCACUGGGUAGUUAUUAGGGAGGAAGAAGAAGAAGAACAAGGGUAAUUUCUCUCUCCACGUUUCUCCAUUCGUAUUUGGGAAAAACCACCCUAGCCCACGUUCUCUCCCUCCCUCUCUCUCUCUCUCUCACUCUCACAUUCCCCAUUGAUCUGCGAGUCCGCCCUCUCUCAGUUCCCUUAUCUCCCCUCAAACCCCAACCGUCGACGACUUUAAAGCAACUGCACUGUUUAGAAAAAAAAUAAAUAUAUUUUUCCUCACAAAUCAAAGAAAAGCUUUCUCUUCUGUACAAUUAUAUUAUAAACACUUGAUGAAACAAAAUCCCCAAUUUCUACAAUUAGACCUUUCUACUCUUCUUCGAUCAGAUCCAGUUUGAUUCCUUUGCUUUCUCUCUCUUUUUCCCUCUCGGUUGAUGUCUUUUCGUCUGAUUCUUUCUCUACUAUUCUUCUCCUUUCUCCUUCGGAGCCUCGAAGCUCGAUCCAUCGGCGGCGGUGGUGCCGAUGAAGUCCACGAUUUCGCCGUCGAUCUCAAUAGCUCCACUUUUGCGAGUGUUCUAAAAGAAUCUAAGGGCAAUUUUGCGAUCGUCGAGUUCUUUGCGCACUGUGGAGUUAGCUGUUAAAGUUGAUGGUAAAGGAGGAAAUGAUCAAAAGGCGAUGACUCCGUGGUCGAAGCAUUCUGCUACAGAGCAGAGGUAGGGAAGCAAAAUCAAUGAUAGGCAAGUUUUCUUUUUCCACCAAUUUUGGGGUUUAUUAAAGCAAUAUAUAUUGUUACAAUACAAACUUUUUUACUUGAAAUUUAACUGAUAAAAUGAAAUGUCUGGGCUUUUUGUCUUUUUCCGACCGGAGAUUGGCGGCGGUGUCACGUGCGGUGUGGGGGUCGAACGGUUGAGGAUGCGCGAGCGUGGAGUAGUGCUGCGUUUCUUUAUCAGUAUGAUUGCUGGUCGGCGCUUAAGUACGUUAAUGGUACUCAACAGGCAACUCAGAUGGAUCCACAACUUGGAAGUCAAUCAAGUUCAAAGAAAAAUAUUGUAUGGACAGAGCAAAUGGAUAUUUGCUUAAUUGAAACAUUGAGAGAGAACAGGUACACAAAGGGCAAAAGCCCGAUCGAAGUUUCUCAUAUCAUGCUUAUUAAGCAACAUGUGCAGAGUUAUAUGCUAAAUGUGGAAUAAAGGUUGAAGUGGAUCAUAUUAAAAACCGAUUGAAGACACUUAAAAAAGAUAUGAGGGCAUUUCAAGACAUGCAAAAUUCUUCUAGUGGAUUUGCAUUUAAUCGCGUAACGAGGAUGAUGGAUGCGGAGCCAAAAGUUUGGGAAGAUUACAUAAAUGUACGUUGAAUAAUUAGUCAUUUAUUGGUUUUGCCUAAAUUGUUUAGACUUUGCCCUUGGUACUAGCUGACUGAUCCAUAAUGCUUACUUCUCCUUGUAUUUUGUUCAAUUGUUGCUCAUUUAUGUGCAAAUAUAUAGUAGAACUUGAUCUGGAAUUAGUCAGGUUGCAAUUUUUUGGACAUUAUUGAAGCUUGAAUAGAAAUUAUAUU